This 72-nucleotide transfer RNA is filed under the name Chrysochir aurea (Reeve's croaker). RNAcentral's name for it is "tRNA-Val". It matches the Rfam family "tRNA". Rfam says of the family: Transfer RNA (tRNA) molecules are approximately 80 nucleotides in length. Their secondary structure includes four short double-helical elements and three loops (D, anti-codon, and T loops). Lineage: Eukaryota; Metazoa; Chordata; Actinopteri; Sciaenidae. The record is from RNAcentral.
CAUGGUAUAGCUUAAAUCUUAAAGCAGUUCCCUUACACUGAACAGACAUUCGUGCAAUCCGAUUUACCUUGA